This 253-nucleotide ribosomal RNA is filed under the name uncultured bacterium. RNAcentral's name for it is "partial 16S ribosomal RNA". It matches the Rfam family "Bacterial small subunit ribosomal RNA", at positions 524 to 776 of the family's 1533-position model. The record is from RNAcentral.
UACGUAGGGGGCUAGCGUUGUCCGGAAUCAUUGGGCGUAAAGAGCGUGUAGGCGGCCCGGUAAGUCCGCUGUGAAAGUCGGGGGCUCAACCCUCGAAUGCCGGUGGAUACUGUCGGGCUAGAGUGCAGAAGAGGCGAGUGGAAUUCCUGGUGUAGCGGUGAAAUGCGCAGAUAUCAGGAGGAACACCGAUUGCGAAGGCAGCUCGCUGGGACGUCACUGACGCUGAGACGCGAAAGCGUGGGGAGCAAACAGG